CAUUGUGGACGAUGAGAAAUUGAAAUGAACAGUUAUCCCUGUCUGAUUUUUUGGUGUUGAUGCUUAUCAACUCUGACACUUCA
Small nucleolar RNA from Macadamia integrifolia, 83 nucleotides. RefSeq annotates it as small nucleolar RNA R38. NCBI's taxonomy places the organism in Eukaryota, Viridiplantae, Streptophyta, Magnoliopsida, Proteales, Proteaceae. The transcript has a single exon. The record is from RefSeq and is a predicted model, not a curated record.